GGCAACCCUGACGGAGCAAGACCGCGUGGGGGAGGAAGGUCUGUGGAUUGUAAACCCCUUUUGACUGGGAAGAACACAAUGACGGUACCAGUCGAAUCAGCCUCGGCUAACUCCGUGCCAGCAGCCGCGGUAAUACGGAGGAGGCAAGCGUUAUCCGGAUUUAUUGGGCGUAAAGCGUCCGCAGGUGGUUUUACAAGUCUGCUGUCAAAGCGCGGAGCUUAACUUCGUACAGGCAGUGGAAACUGUGAGACUUGAGUAUGAUAGGGGCAGAGGGAAUUCCCAGUGUAGCGGUGAAAUGCGUAGAGAUUGGGAAGAACACCGGUGGCGAAAGCGCUCUGCUGGGUCAUUACUGACACUGAGGGACGAAAGC
This 370-nucleotide ribosomal RNA is filed under the name uncultured cyanobacterium. RNAcentral's name for it is "bacterial SSU rRNA". It matches the Rfam family "Bacterial small subunit ribosomal RNA", at positions 376 to 760 of the family's 1533-position model. Lineage: Bacteria; Bacillati; Cyanobacteriota. The record is from RNAcentral.